Long non-coding RNA from Salvia splendens (bonfire salvia), 651 nucleotides. RefSeq lists it as uncharacterized. The record is from RefSeq and is a predicted model, not a curated record. NCBI's taxonomy places the organism in Eukaryota, Viridiplantae, Streptophyta, Magnoliopsida, Lamiales, Lamiaceae. The transcript has 2 exons.
AGAGGUUUCUUUGAGGCCCAAUUUGAGGCCCAUUAUCUUGGAAAUACAAAAUCUUAACCACUAAACACAACAUUGAAAGAGUACUGAGAAAUCUGCAACCAACCAUGUCGUCUUCCCCCUUUCCGAUUACCGUUCACUACCGUCACUGCCGCCCUUCGCCGCCGAACUAUGUUUCAGCUAUCACAACAAGCCAUUUCAUGAGUUUCAGCUCACCUUCCUCACCUUCAACCAAUCUCCACCGUUCAUUUCCCUUAUUCAAGCGCGAUUCUCGCUUCCACCGUUGCUGCGCCACCAGUUCGCCAUCCGAACCGCCGCCGGAGAAUCAGCUACCUCCAUCUUUAGGUGAAUCACCGAAGGAUACUCUGCAGAUUUUCUUUGCCGUGCUAUUCUGGAUGUCACUUUUCUUCUGGUCUUGCGCAUGGGAUCGAGGAAAUAGUGGCAGAUCAGACAAGGGCCCUCGAUUUAGGAAAUAACUCCAUUAGGUUAUGUGUUGUGGAUAUAUACUUAUACUACAAGUUAGCGUAGAAUGGGGGUAUUGAGUGGUAGGACUAUGAGCAGUCAGAUUUGAGGUUACAAUAUAAUGAUAUUAUUGUAUAUUACGAAGUUGAGGUUAUAGAUCCACCAAAUUUAUUAUAUUUACCUUUGCUUUAA